UGUGACCAUAAUUUAAAUAAGGAUAUAGGGCCUUUGGCUUUGCGGCCUUAGGUUUGACCCUAGAGUGUUUGGGUGGCUCAUAAAAAAGUCAUUUUCUCUCAUUUCUGCUUACACGUAGAGUAAGGAAGCCAUCUUGCUUCUGUCUAUGUUAUUAGCUAGAAUUUUUGGAAAAGCUAUAUCAUAUUUACUAGGUACACAUUUAGAAUUCACAGGAGUUGUUAAAAGAAUUUCAUUUUCAAGUUUUUUAUUUUUUUCUUCUGAGAGCAAGAUUUUGUUUUUUUC
Molecule: long non-coding RNA, 282 nt
Filed under: Lathyrus oleraceus (garden pea)
Lineage: Eukaryota; Viridiplantae; Streptophyta; Magnoliopsida; Fabales; Fabaceae
Description: Pisum sativum (pea) long non-coding RNA (PSAT_LNC000385)
Source: RNAcentral